RNAcentral lists this ribosomal RNA (440 nucleotides) under uncultured bacterium. RNAcentral describes it as "partial 16S ribosomal RNA". It matches the Rfam family "Bacterial small subunit ribosomal RNA", at positions 338 to 795 of the family's 1533-position model. The record is from RNAcentral.
CCUACGGGUGGCAGCAGUGGUGAAUAUUGCACAAUGGGGGAAACCCUGAUGCAGCGACGCCGCGUGAGUGAAGAAGUAUCUCGGUACGUAAAGCUCUAUCAGCAGGGAAGAAAAUGACGGUACCUGACUAAGAAGCCCCGGCUAACGACGUGCCAGCAGCCGCGGUAAUACGUAGGGGGCAAGCGUUAUCCGGAUUUACUGGGUGUAAAGGGAGCGUAGACGGCAGCACAAGUCUGGAGUGAAAUCCCGGGGCUUAACCCCGGAACUGCUUUUGAAACUGUGCGGCUGGAGUGCAGGAGGGGUAAGCGGAAUUCCUAGUGUAGCGGUGAGAUGCGUAGAUAUUAGGAGGAACACCGGUGGCGAAGGCGGCUUACUGAUCUGUAACUGACGUUGAGGCUCGAAAGCGUGGGGAGCAAACAGGAUUAGAUACCCGGGUAGUC